Molecule: ribosomal RNA, 574 nt
Filed under: uncultured bacterium
Lineage: Bacteria
Description: partial 16S ribosomal RNA
Rfam family: Bacterial small subunit ribosomal RNA
Source: RNAcentral
UGGGGAAUUUUGGACAAUGGGCGCAAGCCUGAUCCAGCAAUGCCGCGUGCAGGAUGAAGGCCUUCGGGUUGUAAACUGCUUUUGUACGGAACGAAAAGGCUCUGGCUAAUACCUGGGGCACAUGACGGUACCGUAAGAAUAAGCACCGGCUAACUACGUGCCAGCAGCCGCGGUAAUACGUAGGGUGCGAGCGUUAAUCGGAAUUACUGGGCGUAAAGCGUGCGCAGGCGGUUUUGUAAGACAGAGGUGAAAUCCCCGGGCUCAACCUGGGAACUGCCUUUGUGACUGCAAGGCUGGAGUGCGGCAGAGGGGGAUGGAAUUCCGCGUGUAGCAGUGAAAUGCGUAGAUAUGCGGAGGAACACCGAUGGCGAAGGCAAUCCCCUGGGCCUGCACUGACGCUCAUGCACGAAAGCGUGGGGAGCAAACAGGAUUAGAUACCCUGGUAGUCCACGCCCUAAAGCGAUGUCAACUGGCUUGUUGGGUCUUAAUUGACUCAGUAACGAAGCUAACGCGUGAAGUUGACCGCCUGGGGAGUACGGCCGCAAGGUUGAAACUUAAAGGAAUUGACGGGGUC